RNAcentral lists this transfer RNA (203 nucleotides) under Paenibacillus sedimenti. Its description in RNAcentral is "tRNA-Ala". Lineage: Bacteria; Bacillati; Bacillota; Bacilli; Caryophanales; Paenibacillaceae. The record is from RNAcentral.
GGGGCCGUAGCUCAAUUGGGAGAGCGCAUCGCUGGCAGCGAUGAGGUUAGGGGUUCGUCCGCGCGGACGGAACGGGUGAGACGCUUCGGAGGGUUGGCUUCAAGUGGGGGAGCACGGCGUUGAAUUCUACCGCUAAGGUUGUCAUCGUCGAGUAGGCAUCGUCAGCAAGUUGAAUCGGGAAUUCAACAUCCCCCUUGGCUCCA